Molecule: small nucleolar RNA, 103 nt
Organism: Artibeus jamaicensis (Jamaican fruit-eating bat)
Lineage: Eukaryota; Metazoa; Chordata; Mammalia; Chiroptera; Phyllostomidae
Product: small nucleolar RNA U13
Exons: 1
Source: RefSeq, a predicted model, not a curated record
AUCCUUUUCUAGUUCAUAAGCAUGAUGAUUAGGUGUUCAUGCUCUUUGUGAGAUGUGCCUCCCUCAAACCUUGUUAUCACAUUGACAUAUUACUGGUCCGGCA